Molecule: transfer RNA, 85 nt
Filed under: Desulfobacteraceae bacterium 4484_190.1
Lineage: Bacteria; Pseudomonadati; Thermodesulfobacteriota; Desulfobacteria; Desulfobacterales; Desulfobacteraceae
Description: tRNA-Tyr
Rfam family: tRNA
About the family: Transfer RNA (tRNA) molecules are approximately 80 nucleotides in length. Their secondary structure includes four short double-helical elements and three loops (D, anti-codon, and T loops). Further hydrogen bonds mediate the characteristic L-shaped molecular structure. tRNAs have two regions of fundamental functional importance: the anti-codon, which is responsible for specific mRNA codon recognition, and the 3' end, to which the tRNAs corresponding amino acid is attached (by aminoacyl-tRNA synthetases). tRNAs cope with the degeneracy of the genetic code in two manners: having more than one tRNA (with a specific anti-codon) for a particular amino acid; and 'wobble' base-pairing, i.e. permitting non-standard base-pairing at the 3rd anti-codon position.
Source: RNAcentral
GGCGGGGUACUCAAGCGGUCAACGAGGGCAGACUGUAAAUCUGCUGGCUAUGCCUUCAAAGGUUCGAAUCCUUUCCCCGCCACCA